RNAcentral lists this ribosomal RNA (199 nucleotides) under uncultured bacterium. Its description in RNAcentral is "partial 16S ribosomal RNA". It matches the Rfam family "Bacterial small subunit ribosomal RNA", at positions 328 to 539 of the family's 1533-position model. The record is from RNAcentral.
ACGCUCGACACCUAGGAGGCAGCAGUGGGGAAUAUUGGGCAAUGGAGGAAACUCUGACCCAGCAACGCCGCGUGAAUGAUGAAGGUCUUUGGAUUGUAAAGUUCUUUUCUAAGGGACGAAGAAAGUGACGGUACCUUAGGAAUAAGCCUCGGCUAACUACGUGUCAGCAGCCGCGGUAAUCUGAGCGGGCUGGCAAGGC